This is a small nucleolar RNA of Trichomycterus rosablanca, 137 nucleotides long. The record is from RefSeq and is a predicted model, not a curated record. NCBI's taxonomy places the organism in Eukaryota, Metazoa, Chordata, Actinopteri, Siluriformes, Trichomycteridae.
CGUGCCCUGAAUCAAGGCUGACAACUUGCUGUAGCUGUUGGUUUCAAGCAGUGGCCAAAAUUAACUCUUGAAAUGGUCUGAUGACUUUCCCAAAAUUCCAAAAUGGGAAAAAAUCUAUUCAGUUGAAAGAGACAUUU